Molecule: long non-coding RNA, 928 nt
Organism: Brassica oleracea var. oleracea
Lineage: Eukaryota; Viridiplantae; Streptophyta; Magnoliopsida; Brassicales; Brassicaceae
Exons: 2
Source: RefSeq, a predicted model, not a curated record
UAACCUAAAAUUUUCACACCUUCAGCAAGAGAAGAAGCUACUUUCUUCCUCGAAAGCCACCGUUGGGAUCUCGACGCUGCCGUCUCCACUUUCCUAGACAACGACGCCACUGCCACCGGGUUCAAACCCUAAUUUACCUCCUCCUUCGAUUCCCGCCGCAUAUCCUCACUCUCCGGAUUACUCUCCGACUGAAUCAUCUCCUUCUCGCUCACGAUCUCCUUCUCCUCCUUCCCGCGACGCUCCCUACCGUCUCCGAUCGAAAGCCGCCGCCUCCGAUCGAAAGCCGCCGCCUUCGAGAAUCAAGGAGCUGGUAAUCCGUCUGGGAGCAGGAAUACUAGGAGCCGUCAACAAGCUGGGAACAUCCGUACCUUCGCCGAUCUGAACCGUUCCCCGCUGACGGCGCGGAUAGUGAUUCCGAUGAAGGGAAAGAGUAUUAUACUGGUGGACAGAGGAGUGGGAUGAUGGUUCAAGAUCCUAAGAAAGCAAAAGAUGUUGGUUCAACAACCACCACACGGUGAGAGACGUGCAUGGGUUCAUCUACGCUUCAAGAUCCGGUGAGUCCAGAGAGUACUAUUUAUUAACCUAAACAGUUGACAAAACUUGGACCAAACCAUGGAGCAAGCGGUGAGGUGUAUACGGUAACGCAUAGCAGAAACAAAAGCAAGAAGUUGACAUGGACGUGUUGGAGAUUCGGGAAGAUAAGCAAUGCAAUAACACACCACUUUUCUCAAGGCAUUUGCCUGCUGGUUAUGUGGUUGGGUACGAGAAGACGAAUAACAGAGAAGCUGAGAGUAUUGCUGUUAAGUGUUAGGUCGUGUUAGUGAUGAUGGCUUCUUGAAAACUGUUUUAUCUGGUUUUCUUAAACUUCAGGCCGUAAAUUGUGCGCUAAUGAUUGAUGAUGAAACAUGUGAGAUGUUGAUUUAUAACU